UACGUAGGGUGCAAGCGUUAAUCGGAAUUACUGGGCGUAAAGCGUGCGCAGGCGGUUUUGUAAGUCUGUCGUGAAAGCCCCGGGCUCAACCUGGGAAUUGCGAUGGAGACUGCAAGGCUUGAAUCUGGCAGAGGGGGGUAGAAUUCCACGUGUAGCAGUGAAAUGCGUAGAGAUGUGGAGGAACACCGAUGGCGAAGGCAGCCCCCUGGGUUAACACUGACGCUCAUGCACGAAAGCGUGGGGAGCAAACAGG
This 253-nucleotide ribosomal RNA is filed under the name uncultured bacterium. Its description in RNAcentral is "partial 16S ribosomal RNA". It matches the Rfam family "Bacterial small subunit ribosomal RNA", at positions 524 to 776 of the family's 1533-position model. The record is from RNAcentral.